This 236-nucleotide long non-coding RNA is filed under the name Mytilus galloprovincialis (Mediterranean mussel). The record is from RNAcentral. Lineage: Eukaryota; Metazoa; Mollusca; Bivalvia; Mytilida; Mytilidae.
GUUUUGUAUUUCUUGUACGGACAUCUGCUUGGAUUUGUUGGCCAGACAAUGCGCGUUUUCUUGUACGAAUGAUUGGGGUUUCGACUUCAUCUGAUACAACUUCAAUAGUUGUACUAGUUGAUCCAGAAUCGUUAAGUUCUCUUUCUGAAUCUAACGAUUCAGCAUCUGUGUUUUCAUUCGUGCCAUCAAUCUCAAUUUAACUGUUCUCCUCUGAAACCUCUCCAAACACUUUUUCC